AAGUCGUAACAAGGUUUCCGUAGGUGAACCUGCGGAAGGAUCAUCAUUGAAUCCAAUUUCUAUACACCCUUGUGAAUUUGGCAGCUCCAAAUCUCCGUGAUUGUUGCGGGGAGGUCGGGGCAGGCCAGCUUUUUUAUGCUUUGAUGUUGGCGGAGUUCAGUGUAGGUACCGGUCGAAUUCGGCCGGUACUGCUGUCCGCCGGCUCAAACACUUGUUAAAACAAACUCUGUUACAAAACGAAAAGCUAAUACAAUUUUUUUGUAAUUAAAACAACUUUCAACAAUGGAUCUCUUGGCUCUC
This 300-nucleotide unclassified non-coding RNA is filed under the name Phylloporus sp. RNAcentral describes it as "partial contains small subunit ribosomal RNA, internal transcribed spacer 1, and 5.8S ribosomal RNA". The stretch from base 1 to 46 matches the Rfam family "Eukaryotic small subunit ribosomal RNA", at positions 1786 to 1831 of the family's 1831-position model. The record is from RNAcentral. Lineage: Eukaryota; Fungi; Basidiomycota; Agaricomycetes; Boletales; Boletaceae.